ACCUCACCCCACCGCUUCAUCUCACUAGCUCCCCCAAAGAUCCUGGAGAGGACCAAAGUCGGGGACCCAGAGGAGGCACCUUACUGACACAGGUUUAUUUCUUCCUGGCGAAACUCCCCCACCCCGAAUGAGGAGGCUCAGACUCUGCCGCCUUCCCGAAGCGGGGUCCGCUAGGCGCCGCCUGGAGAGGCCGGGCAGGGGACCAGGUAAAUGGCUUGGAAGCUCCAGCUAGAUCCGCGGGAAACAAGGGAGCCGGAGAAGCCGCCCUCUGCCUGGCAGCAGCCACAACCGACCCACGCCUCGCCAGGGGCUGUUGGUCCAGCACUUAGACAAACCCAAUCACUUCCACUAGUGACCACAGUUCCUGCAAGGCCAGAAUUCCUCUGGGAUCCCACCCUUGGCCUCAGUUGACUGGUAUCUGACUCAAGCCCAUCUCCCUGACCACAGACCUAAGCUGUGCCAAUUAAAGUCAUUCACCAAAACAUUUUAAACUGGACUUGGGAAAGAAAACCUGUCUCUGUGAUGGAAAGUUGUGAGCUGUGAGCUGUGAGGCCCAAGUUUUCAGCAGCUAUGUUUCCUGCCAUGUGGAGGAGGCCAGUCUAUAGUAAGGAAGAAGGAAGCUGACACAGAAGCAGCAGCAAGGGGCACGCAGUCUGGAUGGCUAUCUAGUGCCUUUUGCAAGUGUUCCUGAGGUCCAGCUUUGUCCCUGGCCUUCCUGCAGGUUGGCAGUUCUAACUUACCUUGGAAUCUGUGUACCAAAAGAGUUCUCCCUUUGCUCAAGCUACUUUAAAUUAGGCUUCUGUUGGCAGAAUCUAUUUAUCCUGACCAAUACUAAAGCAUUUCCUCCUAGUGAGCCCAAAACAGUCUUCUGAACACAUGCCUCCAUUUAUCCUUGUUCUUGGCUCUCUGAAGGUGCACAUAUUAAAAUCUCUUUAGUAAUGUACAAA
Cynocephalus volans (Philippine flying lemur) is the source of this 947-nucleotide long non-coding RNA. RefSeq lists it as uncharacterized. Lineage: Eukaryota; Metazoa; Chordata; Mammalia; Dermoptera; Cynocephalidae. The transcript is spliced from 3 exons. The record is from RefSeq and is a predicted model, not a curated record.